RNAcentral lists this ribosomal RNA (1028 nucleotides) under Bacillus australimaris. RNAcentral's name for it is "bacterial SSU rRNA". It matches the Rfam family "Bacterial small subunit ribosomal RNA", at positions 56 to 1066 of the family's 1533-position model. Lineage: Bacteria; Bacillati; Bacillota; Bacilli; Caryophanales; Bacillaceae. The record is from RNAcentral.
UGCAAGUCGAGCGGACAGAAGGGAGCUUGCUCCCGGAUGUUAGCGGCGGACGGGUGAGUAACACGUGGGUAACCUGCCUGUAAGACUGGGAUAACUCCGGGAAACCGGAGCUAAUACCGGAUAGUUCCUUGAACCGCAUGGUUCAAGGAUGAAAGACGGUUUCGGCUGUCACUUACAGAUGGACCCGCGGCGCAUUAGCUAGUUGGUGGGGUAAUGGCUCACCAAGGCGACGAUGCGUAGCCGACCUGAGAGGGUGAUCGGCCACACUGGGACUGAGACACGGCCCAGACUCCUACGGGAGGCAGCAGUAGGGAAUCUUCCGCAAUGGACGAAAGUCUGACGGAGCAACGCCGCGUGAGUGAUGAAGGUUUUCGGAUCGUAAAGCUCUGUUGUUAGGGAAGAACAAGUGCGAGAGUAACUGCUCGCACCAUGACGGUACCUAACCAGAAAGCCACGGCUAACUACGUGCCAGCAGCCGCGGUAAUACGUAGGUGGCAAGCGUUGUCCGGAAUUAUUGGGCGUAAAGGGCUCGCAGGCGGUUUCUUAAGUCUGAUGUGAAAGCCCCCGGCUCAACCGGGGAGGGUCAUUGGAAACUGGGAAACUUGAGUGCAGAAGAGGAGAGUGGAAUUCCACGUGUAGCGGUGAAAUGCGUAGAGAUGUGGAGGAACACCAGUGGCGAAGGCGACUCUCUGGUCUGUAACUGACGCUGAGGAGCGAAAGCGUGGGGAGCGAACAGGAUUAGAUACCCUGGUAGUCCACGCCGUAAACGAUGAGUGCUAAGUGUUAGGGGGUUUCCGCCCCUUAGUGCUGCAGCUAACGCAUUAAGCACUCCGCCUGGGGAGUACGGUCGCAAGACUGAAACUCAAAGGAAUUGACGGGGGCCCGCACAAGCGGUGGAGCAUGUGGUUUAAUUCGAAGCAACGCGAAGAACCUUACCAGGUCUUGACAUCCUCUGACAACCCUAGAGAUAGGGCUUUCCCUUCGGGGACAGAGUGACAGGUGGUGCAUGGUUGUCGUCAGCUCGUGUC